AUGGAGUUCGACGAGUACGAUUACCUGGAGAAAUCGGUGGAGGUGUCCGCUGAGAUCCGGAAGGAGAAGGAGCGCCGGAGCUCCCGGCACGGUGGCGACCAUGAGAAGCACCGCAGAGGCGACGAGAGGGCGUCGAGGCGGUCGAGGGUGGAGGAGCAGCAGAAGGGCGAGAAGCUGGUUCUCGAGGAUCGGGAUCGCUCGCCGCGGCGCGAAAAGGAUCGCCACUGGAGCAGCAGGGUGGCGGAGAGGGAGCGUGACAGGGGUAGAGACCACCGUAGCCGAGAGAGGGAUCAGCGGGAAAGAGAUAAGGGGAAGGAGAAGGAGAGGGAUAGAGAGAAAGAGAGGGAAAGAGAGAAAGAGAAGGAGAGGGAGAGAGAGGAAGAUAGGGCGAGAAGGAGGGAGAGGGAAAAGGAGAAGGAGAGGGAAAGCGAGCGGGAGAGAGAGAGGGAUAGGAGAAGCAGCAGCAGAUCGAGAAGGCAUGACGGAGAGGUUGAAAGAGAGAUGGAGAGGGCGAGGAGUAGAGAUAGGGCAUUGAGAGAAAGAGAACCCGAGAGAGAGACCAAGGAAAGAGAGAGCAAGAGGUUCAAGGAGAAAAAAGAAGUGGUGGAACCUGAAGCAGAUCCAGAAAGGGACCAGAGGACUGUUUUUGCUUAUCAGAUGCCUUUGAAGGCGGCCGAGAGAGAUGUUUAUGAGUUCUUCUCAAAAGCAGGAAAGGUGAGGGAUGUGCGCUUGAUUAUGGAUCGGAAUUCAAGGCGUUCAAAGGGAGUAGGUUACAUCGAGUUUUAUGAUGCAAUGUCAGUGCCAAUGGCAAUAGCUCUUUCUGGUCAACUUCUUCUUGGUCAACCAGUGAUGGUCAAACCUUCGGAAGCAGAAAAGAAUCUUGUUCAAUCAAAUUCUACUGGGAUGGGUGUUGUAGGAGCAGCUGCUGCAAGAAAAAUUUAUGUUGGAAACCUUCCCUUAAGCAUUACAGAAGAUCAGCUUCGUCAGGUCUUUGAGCCUUUUGGUCCAGUGGAACUUGUGCAACUACCGGUGGAUCUAGAAACGGGGCAAUGCAGAGGUUAUGGAUUCAUUCAAUUUGCUCAAGUUGAACAUGCAAAGGCAGCUCAGAGUUUGAAUGGAAAGCUGGAAAUUGCUGGACGGGUCAUCAAGGUAUCAUCUGUCACAGAUCAUGUUGGUGGGCAGGAUGCUGGGGCAAACGCUGCUGACUUUGAGGAGGAUGAUGGUGUUGGUUUGUCUUUGAAUGCUCAAUCUAGAGCUUUACUCAUGCAGAAAUUGGAUAGAACUGGAACCGCCUCAAGUAUUGCAGGGUCACUUGGAGUGCCUGUGCUUAAUGGAGCUGUUCCAAAUCAGCAGGCCUUAAGCUUGCCAAUGAAUGGGCAGGUCAGGGUGCCUGCAGUCCUUCCAGCACUAGCUUCCCCUCUCACUGAACCUAUUGGGGAGCCUAGUGAGUGUGUUAUAUUGAAGAAUAUGUUUGAUCCAAGCACUGAGAUGGAUCCAGAUUUUGAUUUAGAGGAAGUAGAAGAAGAAUGUUCCAAGUUUGGUCCGGUUAAGCAUAUAUUUGUGGACAAGAACAGCUUUGGUCAUGUGUAUUUGAGGUUUCAUUCCGUGGCAGCAGCUGCUAGUUGUCAGCAAGCGAUGCACAUGAGAUGGUAUGCACGGAGGUCUAUAUCUGCAACAUUCAUGGUAUGAGUCUGGCUCGUUACACACUGUUGUUUUAAAACAAACGUCACUAUCACACAAUGAAGUACUUAAUAUAUAAAAGGAGAUCUGGAGAAAUCAGGAUCGUAUCAAUAGUUCUAAGGAACUAAUUCAUUCAGUUUCUCCGCCAAUCUGAUAUUCCAUGCGAGUGUUGAAUGGCACCAGAGGUGGUAUUCCGUGGGAAGUUCAGAUUGCCAGGUGGCUCUUGGUGGAGAGGCAGAAGCGGCCCCAAGAGUAUGAAGCCAAAUUCAGGAGUGUUUCUUAAACUUCUGAAGGUUACGCAGCGUCAUCGUGUGCUGGUGCUGUGCUUGACGAAUUUAGAAAUCGAAGCUCUUAAAUGGCUCCCACCUUUGUUAACGAAUGAGGUUGUAUCUGUAAUUGAGUCUACGGACCUUAGAAUAUUAGCUUCUCCCAGUUUUUAAAAUUUGCUUAUUUGACGGAAAUAUUGGGAGCAAGAAGUAUCUAAGUCAAAGGUAUCUCCAAAAAAAAAGGCAGUCCUGCCAAAAGCGGUUGAGCUCAUUGAGUUUUAUCGCAAGCAGCUUGUUCAAGUUGGAGAGGGACGGCUCAUGGCCUUGCUCUAUGGUUUCUAUUAGAUAGUCGAUGAAUUUGGGCUAUCUGCAUUGACCUCGGUGAACAAUUUAUUCUACAUAUUAUAGACCUUCCUAGAAUAGAGGCCUGUGGCCAGAACAAUUCCUUUUGGUCUGCUUUGCGGGGAAAGGUAUGAGAUUGUGUCGGCAGGGAUGUUGUGGAUGAAUGCCAUUUUUGCUUGUUAAUGAAUGAAUUAAAUUUUCAAA
Elaeis guineensis (African oil palm) is the source of this 2492-nucleotide non-coding RNA. Lineage: Eukaryota; Viridiplantae; Streptophyta; Magnoliopsida; Arecales; Arecaceae. The record is from RefSeq and is a predicted model, not a curated record.